Molecule: long non-coding RNA, 865 nt
Filed under: Erythranthe guttata (spotted monkey flower)
Lineage: Eukaryota; Viridiplantae; Streptophyta; Magnoliopsida; Lamiales; Phrymaceae
Description: long non-coding RNA (EGUT_LNC001226)
Source: RNAcentral
CUAAAUCUCUCUUAGUUUUCCUUGUUCCAUUUUCAACCAAAAAAAAUAAAACAAAUAAUUACUAAAUAUAAAUAAAUUAAUCAAAAAAGAACAAAACAAAAAAAAAAGAAAAAAAGAAAAUUGGAAUUUUUUCCUCCGUCAAACUCACGCCAGCCCCAAAUUCAUCUUCUUCACUCAUCUUCUUCUGCGACGUUGUAAUCUUCUUCGCUCAUCUUCUUCUCCGACGUUGCAAUCGACGUUGCCCAGCGACCGCCGCCGCCGCCGCGAGUUCAGAUCUCCUCCAAAGUCGCCGCCAAUUCGAGGUCCGGCGAACUCCACUUCGUCGAAUUCUCCGACGAAUAGCAAAGCUCAUCGCAAAAUCCUCUCAAACGCAGCUGCCGCUGCAGCCGCCGCUAAGUGAGAGUUGAGUGGGUGAGUCGUGUCUAUGUGAGGUAUGAGCUGAGAAAUUAAAAUCGAAAGUGUGCGUUUGCUGUAUUUUUUUUUUUCAAUUGGAGAAGAGGGCUAAAUUGAAAGUGUUAGGGACUGAAUUGAAAUUUUUGAAAAUUCCAUUUCAGUCAUAAAAUUCUAGAGGUUGAACAUAUCUAUCUGGAGGGCUUUUUUGUCUUUUCGCAAGCGGUCAACGGACAAAAAUAAAAACGGGUCGAGUGUGCUUGAUUGAACACUUGUUAGGGGGUUUUUUGUGACAUAUUUUUUCCCAGGGGGUUUUUUGGCCUUUAGGAAUUACACAGGGGGGGUUUUUGCAUUUAACUCGUUCUUUUUAUUACCCCUCCUUUUUAGAGGUGAAAAUUACUAAAAUAGAUCUUCCAUCAUUAACCCCACCACUACUUAAAUAGGUAUAAUUACACUUUGGAUCCUUGAAAUGUAG